UACGGAGGGUGCAAGCGUUAUCCGGAUUCACUGGGUUUAAAGGGUGCGUAGGUGGGCAGGUAAGUCAGUGGUGAAAUCUCCGGGCUUAACUCGGAAACUGCCAUUGAUACUAUCUGUCUUGAAUAUCGUGGAGGUAAGCGGAAUAUGUCAUGUAGCGGUGAAAUGCUUAGAUAUGACAUAGAACACCAAUUGCGAAGGCAGCUUACUACCCGAAUAUUGACACUGAGGCACGAAAGCGUGGGGAUCAAACAGG
RNAcentral lists this ribosomal RNA (253 nucleotides) under uncultured bacterium. Its description in RNAcentral is "partial 16S ribosomal RNA". It matches the Rfam family "Bacterial small subunit ribosomal RNA", at positions 524 to 776 of the family's 1533-position model. The record is from RNAcentral.